RNAcentral lists this ribosomal RNA (385 nucleotides) under uncultured Vermamoeba. RNAcentral describes it as "SSU rRNA". It matches the Rfam family "Eukaryotic small subunit ribosomal RNA", at positions 585 to 972 of the family's 1831-position model. The record is from RNAcentral. Lineage: Eukaryota; Tubulinea; Elardia; Euamoebida; Hartmannellidae.
CCAGCUCCAAUAGCGUAUAUUAAAGUUGUUGCAGUUAAAAAGCUCGUAGUUGGAUUUCGGAAGGUCCUUAGCAAUCCGCCCCUUCGGGGAGCGGGUUGCUGGCCUCCUAUGUUCCUAACGGUCCUCAUCCGCGAGGGUGGGGAAUCAACCGCUAGGAUCGUUUACUUUGAGGAAAUUAGAGUGUUCAAAGCAGGCGUAACUCGCCUCCGAAUACGUUAGCAUGGGAUAAUGGAAUACGACUUCGGUCUUGUUUCGUUGGUUUCGCUUGGCUGAAGUAAUGAUUGAUAGGGACAGUUGGGGGCAUUAGUAUUUAGUUGUCAGAGGUGAAAUUCUAGGAUUUACUAAAGACUGACCAAUGCGAAAGCAUUUGCCAAGGAUGUUUUCA